GAAUACUUAAGAGCUAUAUUUUCCAAGAGUUGUGGCCUCAAAGAUGCUAUGAAUGUGUGUGUGUAUGUGUUGGAGGUGAGAUUCCCUAGAAAAUUAACUUAGAGAAAGGCCCAAACUAUGGUGGAGGUAA
Molecule: long non-coding RNA, 130 nt
Organism: Cervus elaphus (red deer)
Lineage: Eukaryota; Metazoa; Chordata; Mammalia; Artiodactyla; Cervidae
Exons: 3
Source: RefSeq, a predicted model, not a curated record